GACGAACUUUGGCGGCGUGCUUAACACAUGCAAGUCGAACGGAAAGGCCCUGCUUUUGUGGGGUGCUCGAGUGGCGAACGGGUGAGUAACACGUGAGUAACCUGCCCUUGACUUUGGGAUAACUUCAGGAAACUGGGGCUAAUACCGGAUAGGAGCUCCUGCUGCAUGGUGGGGGUUGGAAAGUUUCGGCGGUUGGGGAUGGACUCGCGGCUUAUCAGCUUGUUGGUGGGGUAGUGGCUUACCAAGGCUUUGACGGGUAGCCGGCCUGAGAGGGUGACCGGCCACAUUGGGACUGAGAUACGGCCCAGACUCCUACGGGAGGCAGCAGUGGGGAAUAUUGCACAAUGGGCGGAAGCCUGAUGCAGCAACGCCGCGUGCGGGAUGACGGCCUUCGGGUUGUAAACCGCUUUCGCCUGUGACGAAGCGUGAGUGACGGUAAUGGGUAAAGAAGCACCGGCUAACUACGUGCCAGCAGCCGCGGUGAUACGUAGGGUGCGAGCGUUGUCCGGAUUUAUUGGGCGUAAAGGGCUCGUAGGUGGUUGAUCGCGUCGGAAGUGUAAUCUUGGGGCUUAACCCUGAGCGUGCUUUCGAUACGGGUUGACUUGAGGAAGGUAGGGGAGAAUGGAAUUCCUGGUGGAGCGGUGGAAUGCGCAGAUAUCAGGAGGAACACCAGUGGCGAAGGCGGUUCUCUGGGCCUUUCCUGACGCUGAGGAGCGAAAGCGUGGGGAGCGAACAGGCUUAGAUACCCUGGUAGUCCACGCUGUAAACGGUGGGUACUAGGUGUGGGGUCCAUUCCACGGGUUCCGUGCCGUAGCUAACGCUUUAAGUACCCCGCCUGGGGAGUACGGCCGCAAGGCUAAAACUCAAAGGAAUUGACGGGGCCCCGCACAAGCGGCGGAGCAUGCGGAUUAAUUCGAUGCAACGCGUAGAACCUUACCUGGGUUUGACAUGGAUCGGGAGUGCUCAGAGAUGGGUGUGCCUCUUUUGGGGUCGGUUCACAGGUGGUGCAUGCCUGUCGUCAGCUCGUGUCGUGAGAUGUUGGGUUAAGUCCCGCAGCGAGCGCAACCCUUGUUCACUGUUGCCAGCACGUUAUGGUGGGGACUCAGUGGAGACCGCCGGGGUCAACUCGGAGGAAGGUGGGGAUGACGUCAAGUCCUCAUGCCCCUUAUGUCCAGGGCUUCACGCAUGCUACAAUGGCUGGUACAGAGAGUGGCGAGCCUGUGAGGGUGAGCGAAUCUCGGAAAGCCGGUCUCAGUUCGGAUUGGGGUCUGCAACUCGACCUCAUGAAGUCGGAGUCGCUAGUAAUCGCAGAUCAGCAACGCUGCGGUGAAUACGUUCCCGGGGCU
Molecule: ribosomal RNA, 1346 nt
Filed under: uncultured bacterium
Lineage: Bacteria
Description: bacterial SSU rRNA
Rfam family: Bacterial small subunit ribosomal RNA
Source: RNAcentral